Molecule: ribosomal RNA, 459 nt
Filed under: uncultured bacterium
Lineage: Bacteria
Description: bacterial SSU rRNA
Rfam family: Bacterial small subunit ribosomal RNA
Source: RNAcentral
UACGGGAGGCAGCAGUGGGGAAUAUUGCACAAUGGGCGAAAGCCUGAUGCAGCUAUGCCGCGUGUAUGAAGAAGGCCUUAGGGUUGUAAAGUACUUUCAUCGGGGAGGAAAAAAACAAAACUAAUAAUUUUAUUUCUUGACGUUACCCGAAAAAGAAGCACCGGCUAACUCCGUGCCAGCAGCCGCGGUAAUACGGAGGGUGCUAGCGUUAAUCAGAAAUUACUGGGCGUAAAGAGCACGUAGGUGGUUUUUUUAAGUCAGAUGUGAAAUCCCUGGGCUUAACCUAGGAACUGCAUUUUGAAACUGAAAUACUAGAGUAUCGUAGAGGGAGGUAGAAUUCUAGGUGUAGCGGUGAAAUGCGUAGAUAUCUGGAGGAAUACCUGUGGCGAAAGCGGCCUCCUAAACGAAUACUGACACUGAGGUGCGAAAGCGUGGGGAGCAAAACAGGGAUUAGAUACC